AUGGCGCCCGUCUCCUUCCUCGAGCUCUCGCUCUCCUUGCUCUGCUUCCUCGUCUUCUACUACUUCCACGCCAGGUCCAAGCGCAAGAACCCGGUGAUCCCGCUGGAGUGGCCGCUGGUGGGCAUGCUCCCGGCGCUCCUCGCCAACCUCCCGCGCCUCCACGACUGGGUCACCUCGUUGGUCACCGCCAGCCCGCUCAACUUCCGCUUCGUCGGCCCGCCGCGCUCGGGCAUGGAGCUCUUCCUCACCUCCGAUCCGGCCAACGUACGCCACGUUUUCACCUCCAAUUUCGCCAACUACCCCAAGGGCCCCGAGUUCGCCGAGAUCAUGGACAUCCUCGGCGGCGGCAUCUUCAACGCCGACGGCGACUCCUGGCGCCGCCAGCGCGCGAAGGCGCAGCUUCUCAUGUCCAGUCCAAGGUUCCGGGCCUUUGUGACACGGUGCAGCCGCCGCAAGGUCGAGCGCGACCUGCUCCCGCUGCUCGCCCACGUCGCCGGCGGCGGCACCGGCGUGUGCGACCUGCAGGACGUGUUCCUCAGGCUGACGUUCGACACGACGACCACGCUGGUGUUCGGCGUCGACCCGGGCUGCCUGGCCAUCGGGUUCCCGGAGGUGCCGUUCGCGCGCGCCAUGGACGAUGCCAUGGACGUGCUCCUCGUCCGCAACGUGCUCCCUCCGUCCUGGUGGAAGCUGGUGCGGUGGCUCGGGGUCGGGCACGAGCGGAAGAUGGCCGUCGCGUGGCGCGACAUCGACCGGUUCAUCGGCGACACGAUCGCCAAGCGGCGGGAGGUGGUGAAGGCAAGAGGCGGCAUCGAGGACUCGGCGGACCUGCUCUCCUCCUACAUCGACGACGACGAAGAUGCUAGCACGGUCGUCGACGCCUUCCUCCGCGACACGACCAUGAACCUCAUGCUCGCCGGCCGGGACACGACCGGCUCGGGCCUCUCCUGGUUCUUCUACCUCCUCACGAGGAACCCACGCGUGGUGUCCAAGAUCCUCGCAGAGCUCGACACGGUCAACUCCACCACCACCCCGGACGGCAUGGUGACCUACGACCCGGACGAGCUGGGGCGGCUGGUGUACCUGCACGCGGCGCUGUGCGAGUCGCUCCGGCUGUACCCGCCGGUGCCGAUGGAGCACAAGGGCGUGGUGGCCGCGGAGGCGCUGCCGAGCGGGCACGAGGUGCGGCCGGGGGACAAGAUCAUGGUGUCGCUGUACGCGAUGGGGAGGAUGGAGGCGGUGUGGGGCAAGGACUGCCGGGAGUUCCGGCCGGAGCGGUGGAUCGGGGAGGACGGCAAGCCGCGGUACGUGCCGUCGUACAAGUUCGUGUCCUUCAACUCCGGGCCGCGGACAUGCCUCGGCAAGGACAUGGCGUUCGUGCAGCUCAAGGCGGUGGCGGCCGCCGUGGUGAGGAACUUCGAGGUGGAGGCCGUGCCCGGACACGUCGUGGAGCCCAAGAUCUCCAUCAUCCUCCACAUGAAGAACGGCUUCAAGGCCAGGAUCAAGAGGAGGAAGAUGCUUUGA
RNAcentral lists this ribosomal RNA (1524 nucleotides) under Triticum aestivum (bread wheat). Its description in RNAcentral is "partial small subunit ribosomal RNA". Lineage: Eukaryota; Viridiplantae; Streptophyta; Magnoliopsida; Poales; Poaceae. The record is from RNAcentral.